GACGAACGCUGGCGGAGUGCCUAAUACAUGCAAGUAGGACGCAGUUGCGAACGGGGGAGUAAGGCGUGGGCAACUGGCUAUCAGAGGGGGAUAACUAUUGGAAACGAUAGCUAAUACCGCAUACUAGUAGAUGGACCUGCGUUGUAUUAGCUAGUAGGUAGGGUAAUGGCCUACCUAGGCGACGAUAAAUAGCCGACCCUGGAGGGUGAUCCGUCACACUGGGACUGGGACACGGCCCAGACUCCCACGGGAGGCAGCAGUAGGGGAGCCUCGGGAAUGGGGGGAACCCUGACCGAGCAACGGCGCGUGAGUGAAGAAGGUUUUCGGGUCGUAAAGGUUUUUGGUUAAGGAAGCGGUACUUAACCAGAAAGGGACGGCUAACUACGUGCCAGCAGCCGCGGUAAUUC
This 407-nucleotide ribosomal RNA is filed under the name uncultured bacterium. RNAcentral describes it as "partial 16S ribosomal RNA". It matches the Rfam family "Bacterial small subunit ribosomal RNA", at positions 28 to 526 of the family's 1533-position model. The record is from RNAcentral.